RNAcentral lists this ribosomal RNA (252 nucleotides) under uncultured bacterium. RNAcentral's name for it is "partial 16S ribosomal RNA". It matches the Rfam family "Bacterial small subunit ribosomal RNA", at positions 524 to 776 of the family's 1533-position model. The record is from RNAcentral.
UACGUAGGUGGCGAGCGUUGUCCGGAUUUACUGGGCGUAAAGCGCGCGUAGGCGCUUCUUAAGUCUUGUCGUGAAAGGUCGCGGCCCAACUGCGACAGUGCGCGGGAUACUGGGGAGCUUGAGGGCAGCAGAGGCCGGUGGAAUUCCCGGUGGAGUGGUGAAAUGCGUAGAUAUCGGGAGGAACACCAGAGGCGAAGGCGGCCGGCUGGGCUGUACCUGACGCUGAGGCGCGAAAGCGUGGGAGCGAACCGG